CAAUAGCGUAUAUUAAAGUUGUUGCAGUUAAAAAGCUCGUAGUUGGAUUUGUGGUGUACUUUGGCGGCCCGUCACUAUGUGAUGGAGCUUGCUGAAGUCGCCAUCCUUGGGUGGAUCCUGUGUGGCAUUAAGUUGUCGUGCAGGGGAUGCCCAUCGUUUACUGUGAAAAAAUUAGAGUGUUCAAAGCAGGCUUAUGCCGUUGAAUAUAUUAGCAUGGAAUAAUAAGAUAGGACCUUGGUACUAUUUUGUUGGUUUGCGCACCAAGGUAAUGAUUAAUAGGGACAGUUGGGGGUAUUCGUAUUUCAUUGUCAGAGGUGAAAUUCUUGGAUUUUUGAAAGACGAACUACUGCGAAAGCAUUUACCAAGGAUGUUUUCAUUA
Molecule: ribosomal RNA, 379 nt
Filed under: uncultured eukaryote
Lineage: Eukaryota
Description: partial 18S ribosomal RNA
Rfam family: Eukaryotic small subunit ribosomal RNA
Source: RNAcentral